UACGGAGGAUCCAAGCGUUAUCCGGAAUCAUUGGGUUUAAAGGGUCCGUAGGCGGCCUAGCAAGUCAGUGGUGAAAUCUCCCCGCUCAACGGGGAAACGGCCAUUGAUACUACUGGGCUUGAAUUAUUAGGAAGUAACUAGAAUAUGUAGUGUAGCGGUGAAAUGCUUAGAUAUUACAUGGAAUACCAAUUGCGAAGGCAGGUUACUACUAAUUGAUUGACGCUGAUGGACGAAAGCGUGGGGAGCGAACAGGAUUAGAUACCCUGGUAGUCCACGCCGUAAACGAUGGAUACUAGCUGUUGGGAGCAAUCUCAGUGGCUAAGCGAAAGUGAUAAGUAUCCCACCUGGGGAGUACGAACGCAAGUUUGAAACUC
This 374-nucleotide ribosomal RNA is filed under the name uncultured Flavobacterium sp. RNAcentral describes it as "bacterial SSU rRNA". It matches the Rfam family "Bacterial small subunit ribosomal RNA", at positions 524 to 902 of the family's 1533-position model. Lineage: Bacteria; Pseudomonadati; Bacteroidota; Flavobacteriia; Flavobacteriales; Flavobacteriaceae. The record is from RNAcentral.